GACGAACGCUGGCGGCGUGCUUAACACAUGCAAGUCGAACGGAAAGGCCCUGCUUUUGUGGGGUGCUCGAGUGGCGAACGGGUGAGUAACACGUGAGUAACCUGCCCUUGACUUUGGGAUAACUUCAGGAAACUGGGGCUAAUACCGGAUAGGAGCUCCUGCUGCAUGGUGGGGGUUGGAAAGUUUCGGCGGUUGGGGAUGGACUCGCGGCUUAUCAGCUUGUUGGUGGGGUAGUGGCUUACCAAGGCUUUGACGGGUAGCCGGCCUGAGAGGGUGACCGGCCACAUUGGGACUGAGAUACGGGCCGGACUCCGACGGGAGGCAGCAGUGGGGAAUAGUGCACAAUGGGCGGAAGCCUGAUGCAGCAACGCCGCGUGCGGGAUGACGGCCUUCGGGUUAUAAACCGCUUUCGCCUGUGACGAAGCGUGAGUGACGGUAAUGGGUAAAGAAGCACCGGCUAACUACGUG
This 468-nucleotide ribosomal RNA is filed under the name uncultured bacterium. RNAcentral describes it as "partial 16S ribosomal RNA". It matches the Rfam family "Bacterial small subunit ribosomal RNA", at positions 28 to 507 of the family's 1533-position model. The record is from RNAcentral.